RNAcentral lists this non-coding RNA (21 nucleotides) under Arabidopsis thaliana (thale cress). The record is from RNAcentral. Lineage: Eukaryota; Viridiplantae; Streptophyta; Magnoliopsida; Brassicales; Brassicaceae.
CAAAUUCUUGAUUAUGUCGUC